ACGGGGGGGGCAAGCGUUGUUCGGAAUUACUGGGCGUAAAGGGCGCGUAGGCGGUUCGCUAAGUUGAAUGUGAAACCUCUGGGCUUAACCCAGAGCCUGCAUCCAAAACUGGCGAACUGGAGUACUGGAGGGGAAAGCGGAAUUCCUGGUGUAGCGGUGAAAUGCGUAGAUAUCAGGAGGAACACCGGUGGCGAAGGCGGCUUUCUGGACAGUAACUGACGCUGAGGCGCGAAAGCUAGGGUAGCAAACGGGA
RNAcentral lists this ribosomal RNA (253 nucleotides) under uncultured prokaryote. RNAcentral's name for it is "partial 16S ribosomal RNA". It matches the Rfam family "Bacterial small subunit ribosomal RNA", at positions 525 to 777 of the family's 1533-position model. The record is from RNAcentral.